UUCUUAUAUAGUCUGGAUAUUAACCCCUUAUCAGAUGUAUGGUUUGCAAAUAUUUUCUCCCAUUCUAGGUUGCCUUUUAUUUUGUUGAUAGUUUCCUUUCUUGUACAGAAGCUUCUUAGCUUGAAGUAGUCCCACUUGUUUAUUUUUGGUUUUGUUGCCUGUAUGUGUGUGAAAUUUUAUCUUUAAUUUAAUGGAAGGAAAAUGUGCAUUGGAAUUAUGUUUACCAUAUAUAAUAUUAUGACUGUACAAACAUAUUAAGCCUAAUGUUAAAUAAGUGACAAUUUUGCCUUGCCUUAUGUCUAAGUGUGUGAGGAGAGGUGUCUUUGAUGAUCAAAAGAAAGUUAAAAUUAACAUAAUCCACAUUUGGCACUCCAGCAUUGCUUCAGUCAAAUAUAUACUAACAUUUUUUUCGUCUCUAAGUUUCUGAAUUUAAACACGCAGAUGAAUUCGUGGUGCUGCGUGCUCUGCGGAAGAAUUGAGCACGCCAUGUUGCUGCAGUCUGACACUGCCUAACUGCAUGGGAGACAAGCUGACACUGGGCAAAACUGUGAAAUGUGUGAUGCUACACCUCUUUCCUCAAGACCAAAUCCGCGUUAUGAUGAAUCCUGACCCAGAACAUUUCUCUGCCCUGAUCCCCUCCACUGCCUGUUCUUCCUCCUUGUUCUUCACCUUGCUGGUUUUGGCUCUUAUCUGAACAGAGAUUCAAUGGCAAACUUCUCCCAGGGCACAUCUCUUCUUCUAAAAGGAAAAGACAAGCUCCUAUCCUACCUUUCUCCUGUCCUUGACCGUAAACACAUUCACCAAGCAUGUUCAUUUAAAACAGUCACUUCUGCAAACUUCCAGAUGCAGCUAAAAUGUUUCUGCCUUCAAGAAGUCUUCUUCAAACUCUGCAGAUGGAGUUAACGGCUCCAUUCUCCUGUACAGACACGGAACUUGGUUUAUAGCAUUUACUGUGUCCUCUGGUCACUUACUCACUUACCGGUGUAGAUCUCACUAGAUGUGAGGUUUUCAGUAGCAGAGGCCAGGACUUAUUUAUCUUUUUCUCUAGCACAGUUCCUGAGCCUUGGUAAAUAUUUAAUAAACAUUAAUUGAAAGACUAAAAUAAUUGAUGGACGGAUAAAUAAAUGAAUGGUCUUGUGUAUUUGUGUUGUCUCUCUGCCAGACAAUUUCUUGCUGUGCUUACGGCAUUUUUCAUUUGUUUGUUUUCAUGGUUACUACGCUUUUACAUUUAUCAAGUGGAAACCUGGGCGUCAAUUUAAAUAAGCAACCCUAAUUCUUAAUUUCCUCUUAAAUUCAACUUGAAUAACCCUUGUGUUAGUAAAACAUUGUGGGAACUUCAGUUUGUGUUUGCUGGAAAAUCCCAACUGAGUUGCUACAAAAAGGCAGAAAUUAGAGUUGGUCAAGAGGAUGACCAGAUCAUGUGAUUUGUUUUAUUGGAGCUUGUCAUCAACAUAGACAUUUGAUUUCUAAUUUAUUUGCAAUAGCUUUUCUUCCCUCUUGGUAGACUGGUAAUCAGAGGGCAAGCAGCAAUCUUGUAAGUAAGAUACAUUUGAGAAUGUUUUCCACCAACUUGAUAGUAGGGAAGUCUGGAGCCAAAUGGUGACGUUUGUAUUUUGACAGCCUCAUCUUUACUCUGUCCUUCGCUCCCUACUGCUCUGGCCUGGCUUUCCCAAGCCCUCAUAAAACGGUUUUGGCUUAGCAGAUGGCGUGCAUUAGAAGGUCUCUUCAAUUUUGUGAGUCGCAGUUUCCUCAUCUUUAAAGAUGGAUAAUAGAUCCAGAUGCUUCUGCAGGGCAAAUAUCUAAUGCUCUCAAAAAUUCUCUGUGAACACUAAGAAAUUACAUAAAUCUAAAGGAUUAUUAUUUUUAAUUUAUUAGAGGCGUCAUUUGUAGCACCAUAAUUCAGCACUUCUACUUGUGUCUCUGGAUCCUUUAAGCUGAAAACCAAGUACAGGCGCAGCUUGCUUUCCUGUGCUUUGCUUUAUUGUGCUUUGCAGGUGUUACAUUGUUUACAAAUUGAGGGUUUGUGGCGGUUCUGCAUGGAGCAAGUCUAUUGGUGCCAUUUUGCCAUCAGCAUUUCUCAUUUUGUGUCUCUGUGUCACGUACUUCUCGC
This is a long non-coding RNA of Equus caballus (horse), 2110 nucleotides long. Lineage: Eukaryota; Metazoa; Chordata; Mammalia; Perissodactyla; Equidae. The record is from Ensembl.